UCUCCGGUGGCCUAGUGGUUAGAGCAUCCGCAUCGGAUGCGGGAGGUCGUGGGUUCGAAUUCCGGCCGAAUCA
Potamilus streckersoni is the source of this 73-nucleotide non-coding RNA. NCBI's taxonomy places the organism in Eukaryota, Metazoa, Mollusca, Bivalvia, Unionida, Unionidae. The record is from the annotation of a GenBank genome assembly.